AUGCAAUUGUUAUCACAUGAGCACUUCGUCCUUACUGCUGUCACUCUUUGGGCAAUCUGGCACGCACGUCGUAAGGCUAUCCAUGAGUCCAUCUUUCAGAGUCCCCAAGCUACCGACGGUUUCGUCAUCAGUUUCAUUGCUGAACUAGAUGCACUGAAGCCCAAUGAUAAGGGGAGGGCAAACGGCCACCCUGGCUAGCGUCAGCCUAAGAGGCCACCAGCGGGAAGUUGCAAAAUUCACGUGGAUGCUGGAGUAUUGACAAGACGAGGAGGAUCAGUAGCGGCUGUAUGCAGGGACGAGUGGGGAAACUUUAUGGGCAGCUCUGCCUUGGUUAUUGAAGGGGUGGUAGACCCGGCCACCCUUGAGGCAGUGGCAUGUCGGGAAGCACUAUCCUUGACUGAAGAUUUGGGCAUAACGAGCUUUGUUGUGGCGUCGGACUGCAGCCAAGUUGUAUCGGAUAUCAAUAAGAGAUCACACGGGAUUUACGGAGCGAUUAUUGAGGAGAUAACCAUUAGAUCAUCCAAUUUUCAAUGUAAUUUUACGUUUGAGAGUCGUGCUGUGAAUUAUGAAGCACAUAGAUUAGCCAAGUUCUCACUUGCUAGAGGUCCGGGGCGCCAUGUGUGGUUUGGAGUGCCUCAUGACCAAAGUUGUAUCCCACAUCAUGUGGAUUUUCAUGAAUAA
RNAcentral lists this ribosomal RNA (681 nucleotides) under Triticum aestivum (bread wheat). Its description in RNAcentral is "partial small subunit ribosomal RNA". The record is from RNAcentral. Lineage: Eukaryota; Viridiplantae; Streptophyta; Magnoliopsida; Poales; Poaceae.